Long non-coding RNA from Triplophysa rosa, 1470 nucleotides. RefSeq lists it as uncharacterized. NCBI's taxonomy places the organism in Eukaryota, Metazoa, Chordata, Actinopteri, Cypriniformes, Nemacheilidae. The record is from RefSeq and is a predicted model, not a curated record. The transcript is spliced from 3 exons.
AGAAGCCAUUUGGUCAAAAAUCAUAUCACGUAUCACAAAUAAAGCAGAAGAUUCACAGGAUCUAUUUUGUGAUUCAAACACAUGGUCUUGCAGCAUAAGCACCCAGUUGAUUUACAAAAAUCAAUCACAUACGAAGAGAAGAGAAUGAAAUAAAUGAGCGGUGAUGUCACAUUGCUCUCUUACACUGAGACUCAUUCAGAACAAUCAAACACCUCAAAGGAUUUCUACCAAGAGGAGUUGAUUAGAAGUCAAAUACAGAGUCAUUUGCAUAAUAGCUGAUACUGAUGCCCAGUGGAUGGAUCUCAGAGGGAUAAUCCAGUGUGAAGGGUUUUUAUUUUAAUAAUUCAUAAUCGCCACCUGAUUCAUCGUGUGCCCAUUUAAAUAGAACUCAGGUUUGGUGUGCACACAGGAAUCAUCACAGGCAAUGCCAAGAUUAUUUAUUGCCAGGCCAAAUGUUUGUCCACACUUUCCACAUAUAUAUUUUAAGAGACUUUGGCAUCAGAAAUCUUCAGUCUUGAGGACCGGUUGCCAGUCACCUGCACACAAACCCAGCUUACUGCCCAAGACAUCAGCUCAUCAUGAAAAUCUCUCUAUUGCUUUCUGCUUUCACGGGAACUUUGUGCCAAACGUUCAAUCAAAACGAAGAUAAUUGGAUAAAUGACAGGUAUUCAAAUCAGGUAUAAUUUCAAUUGAUGUGUUGUUCUUUUACAGAUUUGAUUGAUCUACAUCAGAUUCAUUUUCUGUUUAUGUUGUUUGCUGUGGCUAGCUAGGGAAUACAGAAAUGUUGAACGAAAUAUUUAUCAACAGUAUCACUUGGUUACAUUAUUUUAUGAUUGUCUUUCUGAAGGUACAUUUGCUUGUCAGAACUGUUACAGACAAUGUUAAAACGUAUCAGUCGACUACAAAACUUUAAUGGUCUAAUGGGGGAAAAAAUCAGGGCAGAAAUUUCAGAAGUUCCAGACUUUUGUGGGUUUAAUGGGAAAAAGGAAUGUGGCUGAACCAGGUUCCUUCUAGGAAGAAAUCGAGCACAGUGACUUUGCAUUGAACUCAAGGUCAAAACGUCAGGCAUGGUUGUGACAAUACAAAUGUAAAAGAUAAUAAUCAUUUAGCGUCCAGAUACUUUUGGUCUUGAUUUUGCAACAUGUAAUUUGAUCAACAAUCUUAUCAACCCUCAUUUUUUGAGCUACUUGUUUAUAAAAGGCACUAAUCAAUUAUAUCUGUUUUAAAUGUAAAUACAUUUUGGGGUCACUGCGUACUCUUAUUUUAUGUAGUUCAUUUCGUUGAGUUAAUUUUUUUAAGUAAAAAUUGAGGGUGAAAUGUCUCAACAGCGCCCCCUAGUGUUACUUUUUGAUGUCUUUAAAUUAAAUAUCAAUUUCAUCAAUAUUAAAAUAUGUUUAACAUAUGUUGUGUGUUCCAAAUGUUUUUUUACAUUUAUUCAUUUAAAGUGACUUAUAAACACAUUCAAGAGAG